GGACUACUAGGGUUUCUAAUCCUGUUUGCUCCCCACGCUUUCGCGCCUCAGCGUCAGUUAAUGUCCAGCAGGCCGCCUUCGCCACUGGUGUUCCUCCUAAUAUCUACGCAUUUCACCGCUACACUAGGAAUUCCGCCUGCCUCUCCAUCACUCAAGAACAUCAGUUUCCAACGCAGUUCAGGGGUUGAGCCCCUGGAUUUCACGUCAGACUUGAUAUCCCGCCUACGCGCCCUUUACACCCAGUAAAUCCGGACAACGCUUGCCACCUACGUAUUACCGCGGCUGCUGGCAC
Molecule: ribosomal RNA, 292 nt
Filed under: uncultured bacterium
Lineage: Bacteria
Description: partial 16S ribosomal RNA
Source: RNAcentral